Molecule: ribosomal RNA, 253 nt
Filed under: uncultured bacterium
Lineage: Bacteria
Description: partial 16S ribosomal RNA
Rfam family: Bacterial small subunit ribosomal RNA
Source: RNAcentral
UACGUAGGUGACCAGCGUUGUCCGGAUUUACUGGGCGUAAAGAGCGCGCAGGCGGUCGUUCAAGUCGAGUGUGAAAGCCCCCGGCUCAACUGGGGAGGGUCACUCGAUACUGAUCGACUUGAAGGCAGGAGAGGGAAGCGGAAUUCCCGGUGUAGUCGUGAAAUGCGUAGAUAUCGGGAGGAACACCAGUGGCGAAGGCGGCUUCCUGGCCUGUUCUUGACGCUGAGGCGCGAAAGCUAGGGGAGCAAACGGG